Molecule: long non-coding RNA, 14990 nt
Filed under: Cucumis sativus (cucumber)
Lineage: Eukaryota; Viridiplantae; Streptophyta; Magnoliopsida; Cucurbitales; Cucurbitaceae
Description: long non-coding RNA (CSAT_LNC002906)
Source: RNAcentral
GCCUGUUUGGCUAUUUCCACCGCAGUGUAAAAAGGGUUGGCUGCCGUCAUGAUGGCGCCCCGGUAAGACGCGCCAAGGAAAGUGAAGACGAACUCCGGGGAAUUGGGAAGUAAAUUCAUGACAACAUCACCCUUCUUAAUACCGAGGUUGUGUAGGCCAGCGGCGACUCGACGGGCUGUUAGCUGAACGUCAUGGUAGGUGUAAACAUCCCCGGUGGCGCCGUUGAUCAAACAUGGGCGUGAGGCAAAUUUUGAGAGAUUUUGGAAAACAUAAUCGUGAAGUGGGAGAUGAUUGGGAAUGUGAAUAUCGGGAAGCUUUGAACGGAAAAUGAAUUCAUUAGUUUGGUUUGAUUCAAAGGCCAUUGUUGAGGUUUGAAGAAAGACAGAGUAGAAACAGAGAGUAAUUAAGAGAAAAGAAGUAGAGAUGGGUUUGGUUUUGAAGAUGGAUGAAGAAGAGAGGAGAUUUUAAAGCGAUUAGAAAAUAAUAGAAAAUUAGUGUUUGGUUGGUGAGAAAUAUAAAUUAGAAUUUCUUUUUAUAUGUAUAUAAACUUAAAAUUAAGUAAAAUUUUAUUUGGUGGUGUGAGGAAAUGGAUAUUGUUAUGUUAUGAGCUCUCACCAACUCCCAAAGUUUUAAUUGAGAGUGAAGAAAUUAAGAAGAAAUUAAAAUGCAUGGAGAUUGAAGAAGUCCCCUUACAUUCACCAAACUUUUCACUAAAAAAAUGAAUUUCAACCAACCAACCAACCAACAUGCUCUACCUAUAUUCAUUUCUAUUAGGGGUAUUAUAUUAAGAAAAGGUAGUCUCAAAAUAUGAAUGUUUCUCCCUAAAACCAAUGACUAUAGUUUAACGGGAAAAAAAUUAUCUUACCCGAGUUCAAUCUCAAAUGCUUUCGAUGAAUGGUAAGUACUCAUAUAGAGAAUAGGCUGUAAUUUGGGUUGAAGAAACUUACAACUUUAACAAUAAGAUUAAGUCCAUAUAAUACUCAAACUAGAGCUCUUAGGGUUAUUAGCAAUCUCAUCGUUUUUUUUUUUUUUGCUUGUUUUAGUUGCUUCUUCCUAAGAAUAUUGUCAAGAACCCACCAACAUACAAUUGUUCAAACAUGUUUAACUUUAGAGAAAAAUAGUUGAACCAUUUAAAAGAAAUGUGUAGCUUUGCUGUUAUCUUUUACAAAAACACAUAAAAUAUAAAAAAUAUAUUUCAAGUAAUUAUUCAAACAAUGUCUAUUUACACAUCAUAAGCAUUUUAAAUAUACAAAAAAGAAAAUCUAAACUAUUUACAAAUAUAACAAAAUCUAUUAAAUUUUCUACUAUUCAUCUAAGUUUUUUAUUAAUUUGAAUUUUAAAAAAUUAGAAUAGAAAAAGAUGUUCGUAACAAUGAACGAAGUAUAAAACUUCGAUGGGUUGCCAAAAAAAUUGGGAUUUGUAGAGAGAAUUGUGACAUUUUCAUUAAUUUCAAGGCUAUGGUGGACUUUUUUUUUUCAUUCUCUUUAUGAAAAAAAUAUUUCUUUUAAUUUAUGUGGAAUGAAGAAAAAAAAAUAUUAUUUGAGAUGGUAAUCUUGUUAAUUUUCACUAACCUAUUGAUAUAUUGCUUAGUCAAUUUUAUUCAUUAUUUUUAAACAAUUUGAAAGGUUGUUGCUAAUAUUAUUUUCAUUAUCAAAUAUAUUUUAAUUAAAGAAGAAAUUAUAGAUAUAGUAAUUAAAAUAAUUAAGUCAUAAACGGGUUAUAUUUAUAAUUUUUUAAAAUAUUGAUAUAUACUUAAUUAUUAUUUCUAAAACUAAUUAAAUUAUAACUUAAUUCUUAAUAUUCUAUUUGAAGAUAGAUGAAUUUUGCUCUAUUUUAUUUUUUAAAAAAGUGUUUUCGAAGUACACAACAAAAAUUCUAAAAUAAUAACAUAUGUAAUUAAUUUUAUUUUCUUUAGAACUUUUUUUUUAAUUUGAUUAAAAUAAAAUAAAUUAUUUAAGCUUACAACUAUUGAGAAUACAAAAUGUAUUUGUGGAUCAUAGUCUCCUUCACAUGUUUUAGUUUUUUAUAUGAAAAUUUAAAGACUUUUACUCUAAGAAUCAAAUUUAAAAUGCUUAAUAAAAAGUCAAAAUGCAUUGCCAACUUUUAAAAGUAUAAAAUAAAAAAAACUUUUUAAAUAGAGAAAAGGAAGUUGAAAGAUAUUUUUUCUCGUAACUAAACAUCUCACUACCAAUAAAAAUAAAAAUGUUUACCAUCAACCGAGUAUAUACUAUUUAUAAUUAUAUAAUAGAAAAUAAACAUGUAUUGAUUCCAACUUUUCAAUUAAAUAUAUUUCCCAUCAAUCUUGUAUCUCAAUUUUUUUUUAGUUGAGUGUACUCUUUAAUAAGUUUAGGUUUAGAUCAACAUUAAUAAUGUUUAAAUGUAUAGGUUAAGGUUGAGAGACUAUUCGAUCACAUAAAAUUUGUUUUCUUUGGGUGGUCAUUUACAAGGCCAAGUUCUAUAUGACCUAAGGCUAGCAAAAAAACACAACAGGAUUGAGUCUUCGCAUGUAUCUAUCCCGAUCUGAACAAAGAAUUUUCUCUUGAUUGAGAACUAGAGAAGUAUCCCCUUCCAACCCUAAUAAUAAUAAGUAUUUUACAACUAAUUAAUUUUAGGAGAGUUAUAAAUAUAACAAUUAUAAUCAAAAUAAUUAAGUAUAUAACAACGUUUUACAAAAAUUACAAAUAUAACAAAAUUUGUCAAAGUCUAUCGACGGUAGAAGUUUAUCACUUAUAGACCAUGUUGCAAAUAUUAAUUUAUCCACUGAUAGAAUAUAAGAAUUUAUCAACGAUUAAAAGUCUAUCACUAAUAUAUUUUGCUAUAUAUAUAUACUUAAUUAUUAUUCUUUUUAACUUACCAAAAAUUAUAAUUACUCUUAAUUAUAUAAAUAUUAUUUAAAGUACCUUCCCCUCCAACUUCGAAGCCCAAACUAAACUACCCAAAUCCAAGACUCCAAGCCCAAUUACACAAAGCCUAAUCUCUUUUCACCGUUUAAUUAAGCCUAAUUUAAAAGGUCAAAUUACAAAAAUCACUUAAAUGCACCAUAUCUUUCAUGAAUAACCUAAUAUGUUAUAAUAUUACAUAAAAAUCAGUCCAUAAUAUUCUACUUAAUUUCCAACUGCCUUAAAUAGUCUUUUUUUCGAACUUUUCAAAAACAUCACUAAAAGAAAAUUUCUAUAUCCUAAUUAAUCUAACACAAUUUUUAAUUUUGACUUAUAAUUUAAAAUCUUAAAAUAUCGUGAAUUUCAUUUAAUACAUUAUUAUAACAUUAAAUCUUUGUUUUCAAAUAUAUAUUACGUUUACUUCAAAUAUAUUUAUAGAAUAUUUAUUUCAAAUAUACUUAGAAUAAUUAUAAAUUUAAAGUCGCCAAAUAAUAUAUACCAUAAAUUAUAAUUUUGCUCUAAUUUCUACUAUGAAUUUAUUUCACUUACUUUAUCACAUGUAUCAACGUAUGUUUAGUUGUUUUGAAAAUAUAUACCUUAGAUUAUACAAUAAUAAUGCUAAGACAAAUUGUAAAAUCCAACGUUAAAUCAUGAUAAUUUAAUUUCCAGAUUGAAGAGACAAAUACCAAGUAAGUCAAAGAUUAAAAUACUACCAUAUAGUCUCAAAUAUUAAUUACAAGAUACAUUGUAUUAAUUGAUGAUUCAUUUUUAAAAAAUAUUUAAUUAAAUCGACCCUCUCCUGAAGAGUUAAAUUUGAUAUGAAUUAAAUUUUUUAAAAUACAAUUAAGCUAAUUAGUUUUCUAACUCUUUGUCAUAUAUCAUCGUAAAGUGUAAUUACAAAAUCAAUCAAGUUGUAUAUACCUUGUACGUGGUAAUACAUAACCCUUGAUUUUGAUUCUCAUUACUUGCUUCUAAACAAAACAAUUUGCUUAAUGAUAAUGUGGACUACUCUACAUGUUUAAAGAUAAAAGUAAUAGAACACGAUCCCACUGUGUAUAGCUUGACUUUGAACAAAAGCUCCUAAAACUUAUAGGGUCUCUAAACAAAGAUCAUAACCUAAUUAAUUAGAAUAAUGCAAUAGAAAGUUACAAUUAUCUUUUUAAAAAAUUAAUUUGGUGGAAGAUUAGUCCAAGUUGGAAACAAGUGUGCAGUGGUUCAAAGUUUUGCUGCUGCUUCUGCUUAAUUGCUAAGUCCCUUCUUAGCAUUUCAUUAUUUUAUUUUUUUGGUUUACCCUUCUUAAUUGCUAAAUGUUUUGUCAUUUUAAAAAAUUUUAGAUUUUAGUUUUGUUGUGUUGAAGUUUCUAACUUCUUUUUAUUAUUUUGGCUCAUUGGGUGAGUUUAAUUAGUACUGUAUCUUUAAUUUUAAAUAUUUUGAUCUGAAAAUACAUUUUAUUAAUUUAUACUUUUUCUAAAUGUUAUUUUAGUUAUAAUUCUUUUGUAUUAUCAAACACCAUUCGUUUAAUAAAUACAUAGCCUUCAUUCUUACUUACCAAUGGUUUAAUUCAUGUAUAUCAUUAUAUUAUAUAGGUGCAAAUAUAUAUAUUAUGUAUUCUUAACGUUAUAUUAUUCAAAAUCCUCUCUUAUUAUUACUAAUCAAGUGUGUGUCAAAAUGUAGAUACGUGACUAAAACCAAAUUAAAUAAGUACAACAAUGAAUACAAAGUAUCUAUACUCUUUAUUAUUAUUAAUCAAGUGUGUGUGUCAAAAUGUAGAUACGUGACUAAGACCAAAUUAAAUAAGCUAUUUUUAAAUAAGUAUAAGAAUGAAUACCAAUUAUUUAUAAGAUAGAGUGAAAUAUCACCAAAAAAAAGUUUAUUUUAAACUUAAGCAAUAUUUUUAAUUAUGUGUGAGAAAAAAUAGGAUAAAACGAAACAAAAAAAACUUUAGAAAGAAAUCAACAAAAACUAAUAAUUUAAGCUAAAGAGUGGACGGUUGGCUGACCUUAUAGAUGAAAGAAGUUAGAUAUAUUAAAAUUUUAUAUCUACAUGUUAGUUAUAUUACUCAUUAAGAACAUGCAUAUUAUUAAAUUUAUGAUUUUAAUACUUUAUUAACUAUUGAUUUUGGUUGAUAUAUUUCUUUAAUUUUACUUGAUUAGUUUUGUUGAGAUUAUUAGUUACUUUUUUUGAUCUAGAUCAGAUAUAGGAUUAACUCCAUUUUCUUUAUUUAGGUUAUGAUUACUAAAUCUAAUUUAUUGAUUAAAGUUGAAAGCAAUAAUUUAUCAAUACUUUUUUGACUAAAUUUUUACCCUGCCUAAAUUCACUUCACUAAUCUCCUCUCUAAUCCUUGCUUUUGCAUGUCAGUAUUUUCUAAACCUUCUUAGCAUUUUAAUUUUUUUCUUUCAAAUAAUUAAAUGAUAUAUAAAUAAAUUUGCUAAAAGCUUAUAUAAUUUCAUUUACAUUUAUCUUAAACUUUUAGGACGUACAUUCGUGAUUUAGGAUUUAGUAAUUGAAUGGUACUUAAUAUGUAUUUAAAUAAUCUUGGAUGUAAUACAUAUCAAAUAUGAAAUAGUAUAUAAUCUUAAUACUAUUGACAACAAAGAAAGAAAUUGGUUGUCUAAUUGUAAGCACCCGAAGCAAGUUUUGCUCUGAGUUCCUUUCUAAGGAUUUUGCCUGACGGAGCCUUUGGAAUAGCAUUAACGAAAAACACACGUUUUAGUCUUUUGUAGAAAACAACUUGUUUUGCUAUAAAUUGCUUUACUUCUUCCUCGCUUAUUGCACCGCCGUUCGCCUUCAUCACAAACGCCACCGGCACUUCUCCCGCCUCCACAUCCGGCAUACUAAAGAAUAAUAAGAAAAAUAAAAUUUGAUCAGAAAUGAAACUCCCACAAAGAUUUUUUUUAGCUAAAACAAAUAGUUAAAUUCAUUUGAACUCACCCAAUGACGGCAGCAUCAGAUAGUUUAGGAUGUGUGAUAAGAAGGGCCUCAAGCUCAGCAGGAGCCACUUGAAAUGCCUUGAAUUUUAUUAGUUCCUUAAGCCGAUCAACGAUGAAGAGCUCGUUGUCGUCGUCGACAAAGCCAAUGUCGCCGGUGUGAAGCCAUCCUUCUUUAUCAAUAGUCCUCUUUGUUGACUCCAAAUCAUUCAAAUAUCCUUUCAUGAUUUGAUCACCUCUAAUACAAAUUUCUCCGGAGGAAUUCGCCGGCAAUGAGGCGCCGGUUUCGGUGUCAACAAUCUUCAUCUCUGCAUUGCGGACCACAGUUCCGCAGGCUCCGGCUUUUACUUGGAACGGUUCUUUCGCAAAAGCUAAGCUCAUGGAUAGAACUGGACCGGCCUCGGUCAUUCCAUACCCUUGUCCGAGAAUCGCCGUUGGAAAUUUCUCCCUCACGGCAUCUUCCAACUCCUUCCCUAGUGGAGCUCCACCAGAUUUUAGAACCCUCACGGACGACACGUCGUACUUUUCAAAUUCUGGGGACUUAGCGAUGGCCAAAAAGAUUGGCGGCACGAUGGGCAUGAUCGAGAUUCUAUGUUUCUCAAUCAAUUGUAAAAGUGCAACGAUGUCAAAUUUUUGCAUAAUCAUAAUGGCAGCGCCGACUCGUAGUCCACACAGCAAAAUCGAAUUGAGUGAAUAGAUAUGGAAAAACGGCAGCACACAGAGGAUAACAUCGUUUCUGUGAUAAUAGAGAUUUGGAUUUUGGCCAUCCAUUUGUUGCGCUACACUUGUGAUUAACCCUUUAUGUGUCAGCAUAACUCCUUUCGGCAAACCGGUAGUGCCAGAGGAGUACGGUAAUGCCACCACGUCAUUAGAGGAAAAAUCCACCAACGGCGCAAGAGAUUCAUCAGCCCCACUCAAAACAGAAAAAUGCAAACAACCCUCUACAGCAAAAUCAACACAAACAAUUUGAACACCGUUUUCAGCCAAAUCCUUAACCCGAUCGUAAAAACAAGCCAUUGUCACUAUCAAUUUCGCAUUGGCAGCUUUGGCCUGUUUAGCAAUUUCCACAGCCGUGUAAAAAGGAUUGGCUGCUGUCAUGAUGGCGCCCCGGUAAGACGCGCCAAGGAAGGUGAAGACAAACUCCGGGGAAUUGGGAAGUAAAUUCAUGACAACAUCACCCUUCUUAAUACCAAGGUUGUGUAGGCCAGCGGCGACUCGACGGGCUGUUAGCUGAACGUCAUGGUAGGUGUAAACAUCCCCGGUGGCACCGUUGAUCAAACAGGGGCGUGAGGCGAAUUUGGAGAGAUUUUGGAAUACAUAGUCGUGGAGUGGAAGAUGAUUGGGAAUGUGAAUAUCGGGAAGCUUUGAACGGAAAAUGAAUUCAUUGGUUUCGUUUGAUUCGAAGGCCAUUGUUGUGACGUUAAAUUUUGAGCUUCAAGUAAAACAGAGUACAAACAGAGAGAAGAGAAAAUGUAGAGAUGGGUUUGGUUUGAAUUUGAAUAAAGAAGAGAAGGGAUUUUAUAGAGAUUAGAAAAUAAUAGAAAAUAAGUGUUUGGUUGGUGUGAAAGAUAAAUUGGAUGUGAUGUGAGGUCUGAGAAAAUAGGUAUUCCAUUUGGUUUGGUGGUCAGAUGAGAUGUGAGGUCUGAGAAAAUGGGUAUUCCUCUGAGUUCUCACCAACCCCCAAAGUGUUUGACUAUGAAGGAGAGAAGGAGAAAUUAUGGACUAUAACGACUAUCAUCUCUUUCAUUCACCAACUUUUAAAGCAAGAAUUUCAACCUUUACCUUGUCCUCCACUUAUUGAACCCAUAAUCCAAUCUCUCACACCUAUAAUGAAUUUAUAUCAAUUAUCAUUCAUCUAAGUCACCUUAUCUAAAAAGAUGUUAAUAUCUUUUUCUCUCUAGCAUCAAUGACCACACAUGUGAUUGCAAAAUAUAUUUUGGUUAACUCAUAUAUUUAGUUCUUAAAACUCCAUUUUAUAAUAAAACAGUAAGGUUCCAAAAAAAAAAAAAAUCAUACUUCAUUAUUGUUAUUGAUAUUGCUAUCACCCAAACAAAAUGGUAAAGUCAGUAUCUAUAAUCUUACCAAAUAUAAUAUCAACCAUCAUGGAUUGACUUAGUAGUAAAAAGUGAGAAUAUUGAAAUAAACAUCAUGACAAAUCUUGAAAAGUUUUAAAAUGUUCACACAUCAAGACUAGUAAUUCUUGUAAACAAUCAAAUUACAUCUAUUUUUUUUUUGUGAAGCCCACAUUUUAUUAUGAAAUAAUAAAUAACAAUAAAUAUAAUAGUUAAUUAGUUAUUAAACAAAAUUUAAAGUUAAAUGGUUUAUUUGAUACCAACUUAAAAAUUUAACACCAACCCCUUCCAAUUUAUAAAACAAGGUUGUUAUUGAAUGCAUGGGUCAAGGUCAAGAGUGUACACCCAACAGAUCUAAUUUUAAAGUUUUGUCCUUAGUAUUUGAAUUUUUUAAAGAUUUCUAUAGAUUAAAAAAUGCCUAUUAACAGUGGAAGAAAUUGUAAACAAACAAAAGAGGAAAAAAGAAAACCAAGAAGAUCGAGAGUCUGAGUAGGAAACAAAAUUAUAGUACUCAAAGUUUAAAAAGAUAGAUAUGAUUUUAUUUAAACUAUGUGAUGUGACUAACAAUGGAGAGAAUAAAGUAAAAAGGAAAAAAAGUUGAUAAAGUAAUUAGAAUGGUGAAGAAAAUAAUUGAAUUUAAUAACGUAGGUGGAGGGGAAUAGUCAAAGUUAGAAACAUUGGGUCGUUCAAAGUUUUGAUGCUUGGUAUAGUGAAUUUGUGCUCGUGCUUGUGGUUCGCCAGUUGCCAUGAGCCUUCCCACGUUUGUUUUACAUUCUACAAUUUUCUUUAUAUAUUUUAACGGAUGUUUUUUAAAUUAACUUACUUAUAAAUAUACAGAAUAAUUUAAAAAAAUAAUAUUUUUAAAUUAAUAAAAUAAACCAAAAUAUUUACAAGCUUUACAAAAAAUUAUGAAUUCUAUGAUAAUAAUUAAUAAACUCAUAUAACCGGUUAUGUCUGCUAUUGAUAUAAUUUUAAAAAUUUUGUUAUAUAUAUAAUCUUUCAUUAAAUUUGCUAUUUUUGAUAAUUUCUUUUUAAAAGUUUUAUUUUUAAAAAAAUUAAAAGAAGUUGGGUACCCUCCAACAUUUAUUAUAUUAUUAUUGUUUUGAAAAAGGAGAGUAGAUGUAUAUAUUUAACCAUUAUUGAAAAAAAUCAAAACUUUAUUAUUUUUUAAAAAAAGUAUAAUUUAUUUCAAAAGUUAUGAUUUAAUGUUGAAUUUCUGUAAAUAAUUCAAAAUGCAUAUACUAAAUAGAAAUUCUAUAAAAAAAAAUAAUAAUAAUUAAGUGAAGUUCAAGUUUUGGUGAUCUAAAACAAUCUAGAUUUCUUAAAAAUAUAUUAUGGCAAAAGAAAAAAAAUGAAGUUUAUAAAUGAGAAGAAAUAGAAAUAAAAAUUGUAAAUUUGUAACUGAUUCUUAUGGUACAGUUUAAUUUGCAAUUAAAUAAAAAAAAAUUGUGCGUAUUUAAAUUAGUUGAGUGUAUAUUUAAAAAAAUAAAAAAUAUUAAAAUAAUUGAUUUUGCUUCUAAUUUGGCGGCAUGAUUAAUAACAAAAUUUAAAUUUGGCCAAAGAAAAAAAGUUAUCAAAAAUAAUUUAUUACGCAUUAAUUAGAAAAAUCUUGUAAGUAAAAGCUUUUCUUGUGAGGUAUAUUAAAUUUUUUUAGUUUAACAGUUUUAAUUUUUGGAGUUUCAGGAGAUGGGUGGCGAGAUGUUUGUGAGAUAAAAAAUUGAUGUUUUAAAUCAUUGUAAAAUAUCUUUAAAAUACAGAUAACAUUGAUUUGAAAUUUAAAAUAUCUUUAAAAUACUAAAAAGUUCAUAACAUUAUUUAGUUUUGAAGUUCCUAGAUAUUUGUGAGAUAGAAAAAAGUGGUUAAAAAACUACUUAAAACAUCCAUCAAAUCACCUAAAAUAAGUAUAAAAUUGAUUUGAAGUAUGGUAUUUCAAAUUUUGAAAUCGCACCAAACCUAAAUAAAAAGUCAUAGCUAACAAAUUUCUUUACACAUUUUCAACUUAAUUGGACACAAAAUAAUGAUGUAAUAUAUAUUAAAAGUAGAAAAACUAAUUAAGAAUAUGAAAAAUGUAUUUUGGAUACACAACCCACAAGCUGACUCAAACUUUAGUUGCGGGGAAGCACACAUCUAUUCACACAUCCCACCAACCAAUUCGACGAAAAAUAAUUAUGAACAAUAUUAUAUACAUAACAUAUUCAAAUUAAAUUACAAUUGAGGCUUCACGUGAAAUUUUGUUGAUACACAUUCCAUAAAGACCCUAAACUUUAGUUCGGAUGAAAUUGUUGCUGCUGUCCAAGUCGUCCAAAUAGAUAUCGUUGUUGUUGCUGCUGCUACCCAAGUCACCGCCCUCCACCUAAUGGAUUGCUCCGUUUGUUGGUUGCGGGUUGUUCAUCGUUGUGCAAAUGGGAGUUACCUCCGAGAGGUCACCAUGGUGGAAUAAUUAAUAUAUAUAUUUGCCUCUGAAAUUAUAUAAUUCAGAUUUAAUUAUUUCAAUAAUAUACAAACUAACAACAAAUUGCCUCUUCCGAAUUUUAAAAGUAAUACACACAAAUCAACAAAUUUGAUUUAUAGAAAUGAAAUUAAAAGAUGGCAACGAGAGGAUAGAAAUUAGAUUUAACUUGCUAUCUAUUAAUUAGGAACGGAUUUAUUAAGGAGUGAAAGGUGCGUGUUUCUCACAUUCUCAAUUUUUAUAUUUUAAUAUUAAUUUGAAGUGUUAGAUUACCAUAUAUAUAUAUAUUAAAUAACGUUUUAUUACUAUUAAUUUAUGUCUCAUAUAUAUAGUGGCUUUGCUCUCCUUCAACGACCUACGAUUUUCCUUUUUUAUAGAAUGUUUGGUACGUAUGAUUUCUCAAUUUUAUUAAUAUUAUUCUUUUUCACCGCUUUUUAAUUAUAUAGGAAAAGUAUUAAUUCACAUCAAACAAAUGCUAGAGAAACAAAACCUAACACAUGUUUUCAACUAAAAGGUAAUCUUGAUUGGAUCUCCAUUAUAAAUUGUAUUAUAUGUAUAUAUAAAAAAAAACAAUCUAUAACUUUGCUUAAAGAGAGUGUCUUUUCAUAUGUUUUCAAUUUGUCUACAUCUAUAAUCAAUUUCCGUUCUAUAUUCUUUGUAAAAAUACAAAUGUGGAAGAAAUAUAAUAAAUUUCCCUAACAUCAAAAUAAACUGAUUUGAUAUCAUUAAAAAAGAUUGAGAUCCAAACCUACAAAAUUCAAACAAGCAUUUUCAAUCAACAAAAAAAAAUUGUAAUAUGAUAAAAGAAACGGUGAAUCCAAAUAGAAGCGACAAAGGAAACUCCCACCACAUACCACAUAAAUAAAAACUAGGAUGAACUGAUUUGGAUUAACUCUUUGAAAUACUUUCUUUUGAGAUUUUUUUAUUCGAUAAUUUAUUUAUAUUUUACGAUUAAAAAAUAACUAAGUCAAUCUUAAAAACUAAGAAAAGUAACUUCCAAAAAACUAUUUUUAUUUUUAAAAUUUGACUGUUGUUUUCAAAAUAGACUUAAUUUUUAAAAGCAAAACAGAACUUGAAAUAAAUAGUAUAUUACCACUAACCAUAUUCAACUUAUAUAAAAAAAAGGACUAAAUUACAAAAUUUGAUAUGAAUUUUACUUUUAAUAUACAUGUAUAAAAAAGAUCUUUCAAAACAAAUUUAUGCGUUUAAAUUUUGUAAUCCUUAGAACGUACAAGGCAUAACAACCAAAAAUAAUUUUAGAUUCUAUUAUAUUGAUAGAUAUUAAUAUGCUUAUAUUGAAUAGAUAAUGAUAGAAGUUCCUAUUAUUUGUAGAAUCCAAUUUUUUUUUAUAGUUUGUAAAUAUUUCACUAUAUUUGAAUUUUUUUUCUUAACUUAUAACAAUUUUUGUAAUUUAAUCUUCAAAUACUAAAUAGAAAAAUAAUUUAUAAAUAUGAUAAAAUUAAUUUUUCUUUCCACAGCUAAUAAACCAUGAAAGAUUAGUAUAGAGAUACUUUAACCUCUAUAUUUAAAAAUAUUUUGAACCAUUUUAUUGUAUUUAAAAACAGCUUUAUAAAUAUAUAAUUUAAAAGGAAUAUAUCAAAAAUAAAUGGAAAAUAUGGUACGGUCCAAUAGAAAGUUUUGUGAAAAGAUUCCCACUUAUUUAUAUUUUUUUCUUUUAGAAAAAUCCCCAAUUAUUUAUCUCACCAACAAAGCACAAAAUUGGUAUCAUUUUCUCUUCUCUGUAAAAUCCCUUCUUCUUUCUAUCUUCACACCAAACUCAUCUCUACUCUUUCUCAAACCUCAACAAUGGCCUUUCAAUCAAACCAAACUCGUUCAAAGCUUCCCGACAUUCACAUUCAAAUUCCCAAUCAUCUCCCACUUCACCAAUACGUUUUUCCAAAAUUUGCCUCCCGCCCCUGUUUGAUCAACGCAUGAUGUUCAGCUAACAGCCCGACGAGUCGCCGCUGGCCUACACAACAUCGUCGGUAUUAAGAAGGGUGAUGUUGUCAUGAGUUUACUUCCUAAUUCCCCCAGAUUAUGUCUUCACCUUCCUUGGCGCGUCUUACCGGGGCUCCAUCAUGACAGCAGCCAUUCCUUUUUACACGGCUGUGGAAAUUGAUUAUAGAUAUAGACAAAUUGAAAGUAUAUGAAAAUAAGAACGAAGUAUAAAUUAUUUUUACAAGAAAAUAUAUGAAAAAUAAAAAAUUAUCUUUUAUCUGUCUAAUAAAAAUAAAUAUCUUAAUUUGGAUUAUUUAUUAACUUAUUAUUUUUUUAACCCUAACAAAUAUUAUGGUUUGGGAUUUCUUGCCCAAAAUAAGUUUAAAUAAUUAGUUUGAUAGAACAAAUUUAUUUAUUUUUAAAAAAUGACAAAAAAAAAAGUCCACGUAUUUGUGAUACCAAUACACACAAUACACUACCAAUAUAUAUUUACACUUUAUAUUCUUCUGAUAAGCACUUGAUAUACGUUAUAUACACAUACACAUUUGAUACACACUUUAUAUACAAAAUAUUAGAAUUUAUGAUAAAGAUUUUGAAUUUUUGUUAAAGGUUGGUAAACUACAACACAUACUAUUAUAAUCUAAACCAAAAUAAUCUAUAACCCAAAUACAAACUAUUAUAAUCCAACUAUAAUAACUCAAGGAUUACAAUAACUCACUUUUUGCCUCAAAUGCUCGUAAAAAAUUUGAUAAAUAUAACUCAUUUAGAAUAAUAUCACAUUGUUUUAUUUACCAAAAUGUCACAUUGUUUUAUUUACGAAAAUGUUAUUAGUUCUACAAAUGAUUUUAGUCAAUAACUAAACACUUGGUAGUUGGUAUUAAAUUUAAUAUUCCUGAAUAAUACAUAUCAAAUGUAAUGGAAUACAAAAUUAAAUUUUUGAGGUGAAAAAAAUGCUAAGUUUACAAGGGUGAUAAUAGAGGAGCAAUUUAGGGUUUUAAUUGUAAGCACCGGAAGCUAAUUUUGCUCUAAGUUCUUUUCUAAGGAUUUUGCCGGAAGGAGCUUUUGGAAUAGCAUUAACGAAAAACACACGUUUUAGUCUUUUGUAAAAAACAACUUGUUUUGUUAUGAAUUGCUUUACUUCUUCCUCGGUUAUUGCACCGCCGUUCGCCUUCACCACAAACGCCACCGGCACUUCUCCCGCCUCUACAUCCGGCAUACUAAAAAACAAUAAGAAAAAUAAAAUUGGAUUAGAAAUGAAACUCCCACAAAUAUUUUUUAGCGAAAACAAAGAGCGAAAUUCAUUUGAACUCACCCAAUAACAGCAGCAUCAGAUAGUUUAGGAUGUGUGAUAAGAAGAGCCUCUAGUUCAGCAGGAGCCACUUGAAAGGCCUUGAAUUUGAUAAGCUCUUUAAGUCGGUCGACGAUGAAGAGCUCGUCAUCGUCGUCCACGAAGCCGAUGUCACCCGUGUGAAGCCAUCCUUCUUUGUCAACAGUCCUCUUCGUUGACUCCAAAUCAUUCAAAUAUCCUUUCAUGAUUUGAUCACCUCUAAUACAAAUUUCUCCGGAGGAAUUCGCCGGCAAUGAGGCGCCGGUUUCGGUGUCAACAAUCUUCAUCUCUGCAUUGCGGACCACUGUUCCACAUGCUCCUGCUUUUACUUGAAAUGGUUCUUUUGCAAAAGCCAAACUCAUGGAUAGAACGGGACCAGCCUCGGUCAUUCCAUACCCCUGUCCUAGAACCGCCAUCGGAAAUUUCUCCCUCACGGCAUCUUCCAAUUCCUUCCCCAGUGGAGCUCCACCGGAUUUGAGAACCCUCACGGACGACACGUCGUAUUUCUCAAAUUCCGGUGACUUAGCAAUGGCCAAAAAGAUCGGCGGCACAAUUGGCAUUAUGGAAAUUCUGUGUUUCUCAAUCAAUUGUAGGAGCGAAACAAUGUCAAAUUUCUGCAUUAUUAAAAUCGCAGCGCCAACUCGUAGACCACACAACAAAAUUGAAUUGAGUGAAUAGAUAUGAAAAAACGGCAACACAGAGAGGAUGACAUCAUCGGCAUGAUAAUAGAGGUUCGGAUUUUCGCCGUCCAUUUGUUGAGCGACACUUGUGAUUAACCCUUUAUGCGUCAACAUCACUCCCUUCGGCAAACCGGUAGUGCCGGAGGAAUACGGCAACGCCACCACGUCAUUAGAGGAAAAAUCCACCAACGGCGCAAGAGAUUCAUCAGCCCCACUCAAAACAGAAAAAUGCAAACAACCCUCUACAGCAAAAUCAACACAAACAACUUGAACACCGUUUUCAGCCAAAUCCUUAACCCGAUCGUAAAAACAAGCCAUUGUCACUAUCAAUUUCGCAUUGGCAGCUUUGGCCUGUUUAGCAAUUUCCACAGCCGUGUAAAAAGGAUUGGCUGCUGUCAUGAUGGCGCCCCGGUAAGACGCACCAAGGAAGGUGAAGACAAACUCCGGGGAAUUGGGAAGUAAAUUCAUGACAACAUCACCCUUCUUAAUACCGAGGUUGUGUAAGCCAGCGGCGACUCGACGGGCUGUUAGCUGAACGUCAUGGUAGGUGUAAACAUCCCCGGUGGCGCCAUUGAUCAAACAGGGGCGUGAGGCGAACUUGGAGAGAUUUUGGAAAACAUAAUCGUGGAGUGGGAGGUGAUUGGGAAUGUGAAUAUCGGGAAGCUUUGAACGGAAAAUGAAUUCAUUAGUUUCGUUUGAUUCAAAGGCCAUUGUUGAG